GGUCAAGUGAAUAAGUGCAUGUGGUGGAUGCCUUGGCGAUCACAGGCGAUGAAGGACGUUGUAGCCUGCGAUAAGCUGCGGGGAGCUGGCAAACAAGCUUUGAUCCGCAGAUUUCCGAAUGGGGAAACCCGGCCCGCAAGGGUCAUCCCGCGCUGAAUACAUAGGCGCGUGGAGGCGAACGCAGCGAACUGAAACAUCUAAGUAGCUGCAGGAAAAGAAAUCAACCGAGAUUCCGAAAGUAGCGGCGAGCGAAAUCGGAGCAGCCUGUGCGUGAUAGUCGAUACGUUAGCGGAACGGUCUGGAAAGUCCGGCCAUAGCGGGUGAUAGCCCCGUACGCGAAAACGGAUCGGUGGUACUGAGCGCACGACAAGUAGGGCGGGGCACGUGAAACCCUGUCUGAACAUGGGGGGACCAUCCUCCAAGGCUAAAUACUCGUGAUCGACCGAUAGUGAACCAGUACCGUGAGGGAAAGGCGAAAAGAACCCCGGGAGGGGAGUGAAAUAGAUCCUGAAACCGCAUGCAUACAAACAGUCGGAGCCCAGCACAAUUGGUCUUCGGGGUCUUUCGCGCGCGAAGCGCCAAAAGACCUUCAGAUUGAAAUAGAUCUCGAUGGCUAUCGUCUGGUGACGCAUCGCGCGAAGCGCGAUGACGGCACCCAGCACGAUUGGCCCGUCGAGGCCAAUCGUGCUGGGUGACGGCGUACCUUUUGUAUAAUGGGUCAGCGACUUACGUUUAGUGGCGAGCUUAACCGCAUAGGGAAGGCGCAGGGAAACCGAGUCCGAACAGGGCGAAUCAGUCGCUAGGCGUAGACCCGAAACCGAGUGAUCUACCCAUGGCCGGGAUGAAGGUGCGGUAACACGCCCUGGAGGUCCGAACCGACUACUGUUGCAAAAGUAGCGGAUGAGCUGUGGGUAGGGGUGAAAGGCUAAACAAACUCGGAAAUAGCUGGUUCUCCCCGAAAACUAUUUAGGUAGUGCGUCGUGUAUUGCUCCAGGGGGUAGAGCACUGUAAUGGUUGCGGGGGUCAUACGGACUUACCGCGCCAUAGCAAACUCCGAAUACCUGGAAGUAUGAGCACGGCAGACAGUCCUCGGGUGCUAACGUCCGAGGUCGAGAGGGAAACAACCCAGACCGCCAGCUAAGGUCCCCAAUAUCCGCUAAGUGGGAAACGAAGUGGGAAGGCUAAAACAGUCAGGAGGUUGGCUUAGAAGCAGCCACCCUUUAAAGAAAGCGUAAUAGCUCACUGAUCGAGUCGUCCUGCGCGGAAGAUGUAACGGGGCUAAGCGGAUAACCGAAGCUGCGGACCUGGAGCAAUCCAGGUGGUAGGGGAGCGUUCUGUACGUCUGUGAAGGUGAGUCGAGAGGCUUGCUGGAGAUAUCAGAAGUGCGAAUGCUGACAUGAGUAGCGUUAAAGCAGGUGAAAAGCCUGCUCGCCGUAAGCGCAAGGUUUCCUACGCCACGUUCAUCGGCGUAGGGUGAGUCGGCCCCUAAGGUGAGGGCGAAAGCCGUAGCUGAUGGGAAGCUGGUUAAUAUUCCAGCACCGUCUCUGAGUGCGAUGGGGGGACGGAUCGUGGAAGGUUGUCCGGGUGUUGGAUGUCCCGGUUCUUGAUCUGUAGGUGUCCGGCAGGAAAAUCCGCCGGGCGUAUGCCGAGGGGUCGAGACGAGCGAGCUUGCUCGCGAAGCAACUGGAAGGGGUCCCAGGAAAAGCCUCUAAGCUUCAGCUCAGAGAGACCGUACCGCAAACCGACACUGGUGCGCGAGAUGAGUAUUCUCAGGCGCUUGAGAGAACUCGGGAGAAGGAACUCGGCAAAUUGACACCGUAACUUCGGAAGAAGGUGUGCCUUUGUAGCUUGAGUGUGAACAACACGAGGGCGAAGAGGUUGCAAAAAAUCGGUGGCUGCGACUGUUUACCAAAAACACAGCACUCUGCAAACACGAAAGUGGACGUAUAGGGUGUGACGCCUGCCCGGUGCCGGAAGGUUAAGUGAUGGGGUGCAAGCUCUUGAUCGAAGCCCCGGUAAACGGCGGCCGUAACUAUAACGGUCCUAAGGUAGCGAAAUUCCUUGUCGGGUAAGUUCCGACCUGCACGAAUGGCGUAACGAUGGCCACACUGUCUCCUCCCGAGACUCAGCGAAGUUGAAAUGUUUGUGAUGAUGCAAUCUACCCGCAGCUAGACGGAAAGACCCCAUGAACCUUUACUGUAGCUUUGCAUUGGACUGUGAACCGAUCUGUGUAGGAUAGGUGGGAGGCUUUGAAGCCGGGACGCUAGUUUCGGUGGAGCCAACCUUGAAAUACCACCCUGGUUUGUUUGCGGUUCUAACCUGGGCCCGUUAUCCGGGUCGGGAACAGUGCAUGGUAGGCAGUUUGACUGGGGCGGUCUCCUCCUAAAGCGUAACGGAGGAGUUCGAAGGUACGCUUGGUACGGUCGGAAAUCGUGCCUAAAGUGCAAGGGCAAAAGCGUGCUUAACUGCGAGACUGACAAGUCGAGCAGGUGCGAAAGCAGGACCUAGUGAUCCGGUGGUUCUGAAUGGAAGGGCCAUCGCUCAACGGAUAAAAAGGUACUCUGGGGAUAACAGGCUGAUACCGCCCAAGAGUUCAUAUCGACGGCGGUGUUUGGCACCUCGAUGUCGGCUCAUCUCAUCCUGGGGCUGUAGCCGGUCCCAAGGGUAUGGCUGUUCGCCAUUUAAAGAGGUACGUGAGCUGGGUUCAAAACGUCGUGAGACAGUUUGGUCCCUAUCUGCUGUGGGCGCUGGAGAUUUGACGGGGCCUGCUCCUAGUACGAGAGGACCGGAGUGGACGCACCUCUGGUGUACCUGUUGUCACGCCAGUGGCAUUGCAGGGUAGCUAAGUGCGGAAGAGAUAACCGCUGAAAGCAUCUAAGCGGGAAACUCUCCUGAAGAUGAGAUCUCCCUGGGGACUCGAUCCCCCUGAAGGGUCGUCCGAGACCAGGACGUUGAUAGGCCGGGUGUGGAAGCGCAGUAAUGCGUUAAGCUAACCGGUACUAAUUGCCCGUGAGGCUUGACCCU
Molecule: ribosomal RNA, 3024 nt
Filed under: Burkholderiaceae bacterium
Lineage: Bacteria; Pseudomonadati; Pseudomonadota; Betaproteobacteria; Burkholderiales; Burkholderiaceae
Description: 23S ribosomal RNA
Rfam family: Bacterial large subunit ribosomal RNA
Source: RNAcentral